GAUGAAGAACGUAGCGAAAUGCGAUAAGUAAUGUGAAUUGCAGAAUUCAGUGAAUCAUCGAAUCUUUGAACGCACCUUGCGCUCUUUGGUAUUCCGAAGAGCAUGCCCGUUUGAGUGUCAUGAAAAUAUCAACCUUGACUUGGGUUUUGUGCUCUAGUCUCGGCUUGGAAUUGGGUGCUUGCCGCUUUUACGAGCGGCUCACCUUAAAUGUAUUAGCUGGAUCUGUCUUUGAGACUUGGUUUGACUUGGCGUAAUAAGUAUUUCGCUAAGGACAUUCUUCGGAGUGGCCUCGUUUCUAGGACGCUUGUCCGCUUUCCAAUACAAGUUCCACCUCGUGGACAUGACUUUUUAUUAUCUGGCCUCAAAUCAGGUAGGACUACCCGCUGAACUUAAGCAUAUCAAUAAGCGGAGGA
RNAcentral lists this unclassified non-coding RNA (413 nucleotides) under soil metagenome. RNAcentral's name for it is "partial contains 5.8S ribosomal RNA, internal transcribed spacer 2, and large subunit ribosomal RNA". The stretch from base 1 to 120 matches the Rfam family "5.8S ribosomal RNA", at positions 35 to 154 of the family's 154-position model. The record is from RNAcentral.